AGAGUUUGAUCCUGGCUCAGGACGAACGCUGGCGGCGUGCCUAAUACAUGCAAGUCGAGCGGACUUGUAGGAGCUUGCUCCUGCAAGUUAGCGGCGGACGGGUGAGUAACACGUGGGCAACCUACCUGUAAGACUGGGAUAACUUCGGGAAACCGGAGCUGAUACCGGAUGACAAUAAGGAACUCCUGUUCCUUAUUUGAAAGAUGGCUUUUAGCUAUCACUUACAGAUGGGCCCGCGGCGCAUUAGCUAGUUGGUGAGGUAACGGCUCACCAAGGCGACGAUGCGUAGCCGACCUGAGAGGGUGAUCGGCCACACUGGGACUGAGACACGGCCCAGACUCCUACGGGAGGCAGCAGUAGGGAAUCUUCCGCAAUGGACGAAAGUCUGACGGAGCAACGCCGCGUGAGCGAUGAAGGCCUUCGGGUCGUAAAGCUCUGUUGUUAGGGAAGAACAAGUGCUAGUUGAAUAAGCUGGCACCUUGACGGUACCUAACCAGAAAGCCACGGCUAACUACGUGCCAGCAGCCGCGGUAAUACGUAGGUGGCAAGCGUUAUCCGGAAUUAUUGGGCGUAAAGCGCGCGCAGGUGGUUUCUUAAGUCUGAUGUGAAAGCCCACGGCUCAACCGUGGAGGGUCAUUGGAAACUGGGAGACUUGAGUGCAGAAGAGGAAAGUGGAAUUCCAUGUGUAGCGGUGAAAUGCGUAGAGAUAUGGAGGAACACCAGUGGCGAAGGCGACUUUCUGGUCUGUAACUGACACUGAGGCGCGAAAGCGUGGGGAGCAAACAGGAUUAGAUACCCUG
This 800-nucleotide ribosomal RNA is filed under the name uncultured bacterium. RNAcentral's name for it is "bacterial SSU rRNA". It matches the Rfam family "Bacterial small subunit ribosomal RNA", at positions 8 to 789 of the family's 1533-position model. The record is from RNAcentral.